Molecule: ribosomal RNA, 518 nt
Filed under: Bacillus subtilis
Lineage: Bacteria; Bacillati; Bacillota; Bacilli; Caryophanales; Bacillaceae
Description: bacterial SSU rRNA
Rfam family: Bacterial small subunit ribosomal RNA
Source: RNAcentral
AUAGAGAUGUGGAGGAACACCAGUGGCGAAGGCGACUCUCUGGUCUGUAACUGACGCUGAGGAGCGAAAGCGUGGGGAGCGAACAGGAUUAGAUACCCUGGUAGUCCACGCCGUAAACGAUGAGUGCUAAGUGUUAGGGGGUUUCCGCCCCUUAGUGCUGCAGCUAACGCAUUAAGCACUCCGCCUGGGGAGUACGGUCGCAAGACUGAAACUCAAAGGAAUUGACGGGGGCCCGCACAAGCGGUGGAGCAUGUGGUUUAAUUCGAAGCAACGCGAAGAACCUUACCAGGUCUUGACAUCCUCUGACAAUCCUAGAGAUAGGACGUCCCCUUCGGGGGCAGAGUGACAGGUGGUGCAUGGUUGUCGUCAGCUCGUGUCGUGAGAUGUUGGGUUAAGUCCCGCAACGAGCGCAACCCUUGAUCUUAGUUGCCAGCAUUCAGUUGGGCACUCUAAGGUGACUGCCGGUGACAAACCGGAGGAAGGUGGGGAUGACGUCAAAUCAUCAUGCCCCUUAUGAC